CGGAGGGUGCAAGCGUUAUCCGGAUUUACUGGGUUUAAAGGGUGUGUAGGCGGGCUAUUAAGUCAGUGGUGAAAUCUCCGGGCUCAACCUGGAAACUGCCAUUGAUACUAUUAGUCUUGAAUUUUGUUGAGGUAGGCGGAAUAAGUCAUGUAGUGGUGAAAUGCAUAGAUAUGACUUAGAACACCAAUUGCGAAGGCAGCUUGCUAAACAAAUAUUGACGCUGAGGCACGAAAGCGUGGGGAUCAAACAGGAUUAGAUACCCUGGUAGUCCACGCCCUAAACGGUGAUUACUCGACAUACGCGAUACACAGUGUGUGUCUGAGCGAAAGCAUUAAGUAAUCCACCUGGGAAGUACGACCGCAAGGUUG
RNAcentral lists this ribosomal RNA (368 nucleotides) under uncultured organism. Its description in RNAcentral is "bacterial SSU rRNA". It matches the Rfam family "Bacterial small subunit ribosomal RNA", at positions 526 to 896 of the family's 1533-position model. The record is from RNAcentral.